UUUUAUGAGAAGGUGGCCAGAGUGAUGAACUCGGACCAGGAAAGGCCGUAUGUGUGCAACGCUCCUGGCUGUUCUCAGAGAUUCCCCACGGAGGACCAUCUGAUGAUACAUAGACACAAACAUGAGAUGACCCUUAAGUUUCCCUCCAUAAAGAACGACAACAUGUUAUCAGACCAGACACCCACACCAACACGCUUCUUGAAGAACUGUGAGGAGGUGGGAUUGUUCAGUGAACUGGACUGCUCCAUUGAACAGGAGUUUUGCAAGGCCCAGGAAGAAGAGGACAGUAAACAGAGCAUCUCAUUGCACGGCCAGACAGGCCAAGGCCAGCACCAGCAGUCCCACUCACGGAUGGGCAACCAUGAUACCAGCAUAGUGAUCCAGCAGGCCCUGCCAUCUCCUCAGUCCAGCUCCGUCAUCACUCAGGCUCCAUCGACUAACAGACAGAUAGGGCCUGUCCCUGGCUCUCUUUCCUCAUUGCUGCACCUACGAAACAGACAGAGACAGCCACUGCCAGCCUCCAUGCCUGGAACUCUGCCAGACCCGACCAUGCCUGGCUCCUCCGCUGUGCUGAUGCCAAUGGAGAGACAAAUGUCCAUGGGAUCCAAUAUGAUGGGUAUGCAAGGACCCACCCACAGCAGCUCCUGCUCUUCCACUCACAUUCCCUCCAUGCACUCAGAAGCCAAACUGAGGCUGAAGGCUGCACUUUCACACCACCCGGGUACCAUUUCCAACGGCAACAUGAACUCCAUGGGCCACAUGAUGGAGAUGAUGUCAUCGCGGCAGGAGCAAGGCACCCACCAUCACAUGCACUCGCACCCGCACCAGCACCAGCACCUCCAAGCCCCUCCUCACGCAUACCAGCACCACGGCCACCACCACCACAACCAGGGCCACGGCCAGGGUGGACACCACCACCCGCAAGGACACAACCCCCAUCAAAACUCCCACAAUCCCCACCUACAUCCUGGGCACCCACACCAGACCUCACCGCACCCUCCAAUGCACUCUGCUUCUCAUAUGUCACCUGCAACCCAGCAGAUGCAUCCCACGCAGACACUGCAGUCUCCUCCACCCAGCGGUGGCCGGCGCAGGCGAGUAGUGGAUGAGGAUCCGGAUGAACGUCGGCGGAAGUUUCUGGAGCGGAACAGAGCAGCGGCAACCAGAUGCAGACAGAAGAGAAAAGUGUGGGUGAUGUCAUUAGAGAAGAAAGCAGAAGAGCUCACUCAGACCAACAUGCAGCUUCAGAAUGAAGUGACCAUGCUAAAGAACGAGGUGACCCAACUCAAGCAGCUUCUCCUCACACACAAGGACUGUCCCAUCACCACUAUGCAGAAAGAGUCCCAAGGUUACCUCAGUCCAGACAGCAGUCCGGCAGGCAGUCCAGCUCCAGUAUGCUCCCAGCAGCAGGUCAUUCAACACAACACCAUCACCACCUCCACCACAACCAUAGGGGGAAGCAGUGUGCACGGACAAACCAAUCACCGCACAGACAUUAACCCCAUCCACUAGGUUCAAGAGAGACUAUGACCCCUGCCCAAGCUCCCCCUGCUACUCAGCUUUCUGAGGGUUGCCAACUGCACAUGCUGGCCCCCCCUCUCCCUCCAUCAAGAGAAACCUCAAAGGCCUGUGAGGCUGUUCUUUAUACAGUAGCUACAGUAUGUAUUUUUAUAGACCAACCCUAUUAACCCAUAAAUGUUCCAUGGUUUGUUGCCUCUUUCUUAUCUGUUUUUCAUGCUUUUAGCAAAAAGGGAGUUUUUGCUAAUCUCAUGCGGCAUUUAAGUGAAUUUUUCCGUUGUGUAAUGGUACAAAAUGGACCACAGUGGUCAUGGACCCUGAGGACAGAAACAUAAGCCUCAGACUGCCAUCUUUAUUAGAAGACCUUACAUCUCUUUAUGCCGAAUGGACUGAAAAAACAAAAGUCAACUCUUUCUCUGAAUAUUACAUGUAGACAGUGUGUUGAGUGUAUGCAACAGACACUUUAUGAGUGGGAUGUUGCUGCCUUUAAGUGGUCUUUUGAAACCAAGUCAAACUGUCACCACGAUGUCUUGAAGACAGGAAUAUGCAAGCAGGUGUAACGAUCCUUUUCUUUAAUUGAAGCGUAUAUGACUGUUAACCAUUUCCCUGUCAGCGGUACUCUUAAAGCGAGUCAUAAAAUACAGCACGACAGCGAAAACAUGAUGAAAGCAAAACA
This is an RNA transcript of Etheostoma cragini (Arkansas darter), 2194 nucleotides long. It is a transcript of the gene named cAMP responsive element binding protein 5b, with no coding region annotated. NCBI's taxonomy places the organism in Eukaryota, Metazoa, Chordata, Actinopteri, Perciformes, Percidae. The transcript has 11 exons. The record is from RefSeq and is a predicted model, not a curated record.